UGAUGCAGCGACGCCGCGUGGGGGAUGACGGUCUUCGGAUUGUAAACCCCUUUCAGUAGGGACGAAGCGCAAGUGACGGUACCUGCAGAAGAAGCACCGGCCAACUACGUGCCAGCAGCCGCGGUAAUACGUAGGGUGCGAGCGUUGUCCGGAAUUACUGGGCGUAAAGAGCUCGUAGGCGGUUUGUCGCGUCGUCCGUGAAAACUCGGAGCUUAACUCCGAGCUUGCGGGCGAUACGGGCAGACUUGAGUACUACAGGGGAGACUGGAAUUCCUGGUGUAGCGGUGAAAUGCGCAGAUAUCAGGAGGAACACCGGUGGCGAAGGCGGGUCUCUGGGUAGUAACUGACGCUGAGGAGCGAAAGCAUGGGUAGCGAACAGGAUUAGAUACCCUGGUAGUCCAUGCCGUAAACGGUGGGCGCUAGGUGUGGGGUCCUUCCACGG
Molecule: ribosomal RNA, 442 nt
Filed under: bacterium 1.8
Lineage: Bacteria
Description: bacterial SSU rRNA
Rfam family: Bacterial small subunit ribosomal RNA
Source: RNAcentral